This is a long non-coding RNA of Balaenoptera ricei (Rice's whale), 1105 nucleotides long. RefSeq lists it as uncharacterized. The transcript has 4 exons. Lineage: Eukaryota; Metazoa; Chordata; Mammalia; Artiodactyla; Balaenopteridae. The record is from RefSeq and is a predicted model, not a curated record.
CACGCCCGCGGCCGCAGCUGAUCCGCUGUACUAGAAGAAGCCUAAGAGUGGGAUUUCUGGGGAGUAGGAGCCUCGCACCUCUCGCAUCAUGGUGAGGAAGAACAGUAUCCCCAACGGCUCCAAUCUGAGGGGGACUGGGCAGAAAGACAUCUCAUCAGAACCCAGGAAACAAUGAGAAACUGUCUCAUGAAAGCCUCCAGGGAAGAUAAAAAGCUGUCUGCAAGCCAGGGGAGGGCUGUCACCAAAACCAUUCUUUGCACUCUGGUCUCAGACUUCACAGCCUCCAGACUGUGGAACAGAGAGCUGGGAACGGAGUGACACUCGCCACUGCCAUCCACGACUCAUCGUCCAGGACAGACAACAAAGCCCGAGAGUGCCGUCGUAUUGGGCCCCUAAUGAGGUCAGGGAUUUUGGCGCUGAGCAAGGAGAAAGAUAUGACCACAAGGUGGCAGUAGCACACAAGGAAUUUUCUUUGGAGGCUGAUUUGACAGGUUUGCAUGUGAGGAGGGUCCUCGCUACUUGAAACCUGCCAAAGGCAAAGGGCUGGGGGCUACUACCCAGAAGGGGAGGUGGGCUAGGGAACAAGAGGGCUAUUGAAGAGGAGGCUUCUGGGUCUAGGCGCUGUUGUUCCCCUGCACAGGCAGGGAGCCUCGGGUCAGAGAGCUCCAGCCCACAGCAGCAGUUUGGGGUCUUGUGGUGGUACAGGGUUUACCUAUGGCUGGCAGAUGCUGGCUGCAAUUUCUUGGGGUAUGCAAAGCAGGCAGGCUCUACUAGUUAAAAAUCUGCUUAUUGAGUCUAUAUUUUAAACAAUUGCAUGUGUAAAAAUUUGAGUUUGGCGCCAAUGGGCUUUUGAGCUAACGGAUCUCAGCCUGCUGUGAAGAAGUACACGCAUAUACAGAGGCCUUCUUUGGCUCAUUUAUAUACUAGUGCCCCAAAUGGGGAUCAUUUGGAGAUCCUUGGUGUUGGGGCAAAAGGCAGGCCACCCCAAAAUGUGCUUCAAUGGCGUAUUGAUUGUUUUGAAUUAACGUUAGUACCCAAGCCCAAACUUUGCAUUAAAUUCCUUACUAAUUAAGCACCCACAUCUAAGUUUUUUGUCCUGUCAAAU